AGUGAACGCUGGCGGUAGGCCUAACACAUGCAAGUCGAACGGCAGCACAGUAAGAGCUUGCUCUUACGGGUGGCGAGUGGCGGACGGGUGAGGAAUAUAUCGGAAUCUAUUUUUUCGUGGGGGAUAACGUAGGGAAACUUACGCUAAUACCGCAUACGACCUACGGGUGAAAGCAGGGGAUCUUCGGACCUUGCGCGAUUGAAUGAGCCGAUGUCGGAUUAGCUAGUUGGCGGGGUAAAGGCCCACCAAGGCGACGAUCCGUAGCUGGUCUGAGAGGAUGAUCAGCCACACUGGAACUGAGACACGGUCCAGACUCCUACGGGAGGCAGCAGUGGGGAAUAUUGGACAAUGGGCGCAAGCCUGAUCCAGCCAUACCGCGUGUGUGAAGAAGGCCUUCGGGUUGUAAAGCCCUUUUGUUGGGAAAGAAAAGCAGCAGGUUAAUACCCCGCUGUUCUGACGGUACCCAAAGAAUAAGCACCGGCUAACUUCGUG
RNAcentral lists this ribosomal RNA (492 nucleotides) under uncultured bacterium. RNAcentral's name for it is "partial 16S ribosomal RNA". It matches the Rfam family "Bacterial small subunit ribosomal RNA", at positions 29 to 507 of the family's 1533-position model. The record is from RNAcentral.